CGGGAUCUUUUGGGAGCUUGCUCUUUGGAAGAUCUAGUGGCGGACGGGUGAGUAACACGUGAGCAACCUGCCGAGGAGUGGGGGAUAACGUCUGGAAACAGACGCUAAUACCGCAUAACGUUGCGAGAUGGCAUCAUCUUGUAACCAAAGGAGAAAUCCGCUUUUUGAUGGGCUCGCGCCCGAUUAGGUAGUUGGUGAGAUAAUAGCCCACCAAGCCUGCGAUCGGUAGCCGGACUGAGAGGUUGAUCGGCCACAUUGGGACUGAGACACGGCCCAGACUCCUACGGGAGGCAGCAGUGGGGGAUAUUGCACAAUGGGGGAAACCCUGAUGCAGCGACGCCGCGUGAGUGAAGACGGCCUUCGGGUUGUAAAGCUCUGCUAACGAGGACGAUAAUGACGGUACUCGUUAAGAAAGCCACGGCUAACUACGUGCCAGCAGCCGCGGUAAUACGUAGGUGGCGAGCGUUGUCCGGAAUUACUGGGUGUAAAGGGAGCGCAGGCGGGGUUUUAAGUUGGAUGUGAAAUACCACAGCUUAACUGUGGGGCUGCAUCCAAAACUGGGACUCUUGAGUGAAGUAGAGGUAGGCGGAAUUCCUAGUGUAGCGGUGAAAUGCGUAGAUAUUAGGAGGAACACCAGUGGCGAAGGCGGCCUACUGGGCUUUAACUGACGCUGAGGCUCG
RNAcentral lists this ribosomal RNA (680 nucleotides) under uncultured bacterium. Its description in RNAcentral is "bacterial SSU rRNA". It matches the Rfam family "Bacterial small subunit ribosomal RNA", at positions 67 to 755 of the family's 1533-position model. The record is from RNAcentral.